AUGCAGCCAAGCGAUGAUAUCUCAGAUCAUUAUUUAGUUUUGUGCAAACUUCAUAUAGUAAAAAUUCUACUUCUUGUUACAAGUAUGGUAGAACCAUCACUUCUACCACAAAAGACUGCUUUCAUUUUAAAUACAGUUGCUCCCUUACGCUUAAGGAAGAUUAAGCGAAACAGUCUGACACCGUGGUAUAAUGAGCACACUCGCACCCUAAAGAGAAUGGAGCGCAGCUGGAGGAAAACAAAACUAGAGGUCACCGUAGCCACCAGAUCCAGUCUGUAUCCAGAUCAGAUGGUCACUGCAGUCACCCAGAUCCAGUACGUAUCCAGACCAGAUGGUGGAUCAGCACCUAGAAAGGACCUCUAUAGCCCUAAAAGACAGCGGAGACCAGGACAAGUAGAUGAGCCCCAGAUACAGAUCCUCUGUGAAGACCUGUGACAUUGCUGCAGCCUGGGAAUUGAACAGCUGGUUUCGUCUGGCUAGAGGAGAACUGGCCCCCGACUGAACCUGGUUUCUCCCAAGGUUUUUUCUCCAUUCUUUCACCGAUGGAGUUUUGGUUCUUUGCCACUGUUGUCUCUGGCUUGCUUAGUUGGGGACACUUGAUUUACAGCAAUAUUGUUGACCUAAUUGCAAAGAUACUAUUCAAACUGUACUGAGCUGCAUGAUGACAUCACUGAAUUCAAUGAUGAACUGCCUUUAACUGUCAUUUUGCAUUAUUGACACACUGUUUUCCUAAUUAAUGUUGUUCAGUUGCUUUGACACAAUCUGUUUUGUUUAAAGCACUAUAUAAAUAAAGGUUACUUGACUUGACUAUAGGAGAGGAAG
Cyprinus carpio (common carp) is the source of this 822-nucleotide long non-coding RNA. The record is from Ensembl. Lineage: Eukaryota; Metazoa; Chordata; Actinopteri; Cypriniformes; Cyprinidae.